RNAcentral lists this ribosomal RNA (551 nucleotides) under uncultured Acaulospora. RNAcentral's name for it is "SSU rRNA". It matches the Rfam family "Eukaryotic small subunit ribosomal RNA", at positions 548 to 1098 of the family's 1831-position model. The record is from RNAcentral. Lineage: Eukaryota; Fungi; Glomeromycota; Glomeromycetes; Diversisporales; Acaulosporaceae.
UUGGAGGGCAAGUCUGGUGCCAGCAGCCGCGGUAAUUCCAGCUCCAAUAGCGUAUAUUAAAGUUGUUGCAGUUAAAAAGCUCGUAGUUGAAUUUCGGGGUUCAUACGUUGGUCGGGCUUUUUGGUCUGUACUAGCGUAAUGGAUUCCUACCUUCUGAAUAACCGGCAUGCCAUUAAUUUGGUGCGCCGGGGAAGCAGGACUGUUACCUUGAAAAAAUUAGAGUGCUUAAAGCAGGCUAUCGCCUGAAUACAUUAGCAUGGAAUAAUGAAAUAGGACGGCAUGGUUCUAUUUUGUUGGUUUCUAGGAUCACCGUAAUGAUUAAUAGGGAUAGUUGGGGGCAUUAGUAUUCAAUUGUCAGAGGUGAAAUUCUUGGAUUUAUUGAAGACUAACUACUGCGAAAGCAUUUGCCAAGGAUGUUUUCAUUAAUCAAGAACGAAAGUUAGGGGAUCGAAGACGAUCAGAUACCGUCGUAGUCUUAACCAUAAACUAUGCCGACUAGGGAUCGGACGAUGUUAAUUUUUUAAUGACUCGUUCGGCGCCUUACGGGAAAC